Molecule: ribosomal RNA, 212 nt
Filed under: uncultured archaeon
Lineage: Archaea
Description: partial 16S ribosomal RNA
Rfam family: Archaeal small subunit ribosomal RNA
Source: RNAcentral
UAGCCACGGUAAUACCCGCUCCCCCGAGUGGUGGGGACGCUUAUUGGGCCUAAAGCAUCCGUAGCCGGCUGGGUAAGUCCCCUGUUAAAUCCAGCGAUUCAAUCGCUGGACUGCGGGGGAUACUGCUCAGCUAGGGGGCGGGAUAGGCCGGCGGUAUUCCCGGGGUAGGGGUAAAAUCCACUGAUCCCGGGAGGACCACCAGUGGCGAAGGC